This 87-nucleotide transfer RNA is filed under the name Imshaugia aleurites. RNAcentral's name for it is "tRNA-Val". The record is from RNAcentral. Lineage: Eukaryota; Fungi; Ascomycota; Lecanoromycetes; Lecanorales; Parmeliaceae.
GGCCGAAUGGUGUAGUUGGUUAUCACGUAUCCUUAACAUUAUCGAAAGCUACGGAUAAGGUCCUGAGUUCGAGCCUCAGUUUGGUCA